GUGCUAGUGUCGUAAGACAUCAUCGUAAACUUAGGGCGUGCUUGGGGAGUCUUGUAAGGUACCGGCCUGGGAGGAAUAUCUGCAAAAAAAGUUUACACUAUAGAAAUAGACUAUUGACAAUCCAUAAUUUAUAAAGUUAAUUAAUUAUGGUUGCGAUGCAUUACGCAACAACGCAGUGUCAGGGAGCCGACCUCGGAACCACCGAAAUGUGACAAACCCACACCCUUCGGCCAAAACUCCUCCUUGUUGGUCGCUAGAUUUGUGUGAUGAGCACAGAUAUUUGUUCCUGAGUCAUGGAUUUUUUCUAUGUAUUUAAGUAUUAGUACUUAUAUUAUACAUAUCGUUGUCUGAGUACCCACAACACAAGCCUUCAUGGCUUAUCGUGGGAUUUAGUCAAUUUGUGUAAGAAUUACCCUAUAAUAUUUGUUUAUUUAUAAAAUAUUACUUCUCACAUUGCGAUAGGUAUUUGCCAAAGGAUGCCCAGUAUAGAGUUAGACACAUUUUACCCAAUAACUAACUCGUUGUGAAACUUUAUACUCAAUUUCCUCACAACCCAGUAAUAAAAUGUCUACGUGUCAACCAUUUCCUCAUUUGUCAUACAAGCUCUGCGCAAAAAUAGAUACUUUAAAAGCCAUUAAAUAAAUAAAAAACAUUAUUAAAACGGUAUUUUUUACGGUAAAUACGCCAACCUUGGACCAGUGUAUGAAUUUGUUCCGGUUGCUGUCGAAACGGCUGGGCCAUGGUGCACAGAGGCCAAGAAACUGGUUAGGGGAUUGGGCGUCAAAUAAAGGGACAGAGGCUGCGACCCCCGGGCUGGCUCUAAUCUGGUCCAACAAAAUAUCUUUGACUAUUCAGCGUGGCAACGCAGCUGGCAUAUUUGGGACGUUAGGCCAGGCAUGGAAUAGUUCGGGGCUAAAAUGUUUUUUUUUGUUUUUGUUUUUUUUUUUGACGAAGCAUGUUGUGGAUACGAGUAUUAUUUUUGUGUGUAGCAACCUAGCAACUAUGAUUAAGCCUGCGCUGUGGAUUGAUAUUGUAUUAAUUUGCAUUAUUUGUGUGCCUAGACUUUGAAAAUAAAGCAAAAUGAUUUA
Cydia pomonella (codling moth) is the source of this 1088-nucleotide long non-coding RNA. RefSeq lists it as uncharacterized. The record is from RefSeq and is a predicted model, not a curated record. Lineage: Eukaryota; Metazoa; Arthropoda; Insecta; Lepidoptera; Tortricidae. The transcript is spliced from 2 exons.